This 377-nucleotide ribosomal RNA is filed under the name uncultured archaeon. RNAcentral's name for it is "bacterial SSU rRNA". It matches the Rfam family "Archaeal small subunit ribosomal RNA", at positions 47 to 403 of the family's 1478-position model. The record is from RNAcentral.
AGCMUGCAAGUCGUGCGUCCCGAGCUGGCGGGACGCGGCAUACGGCUCAGUAGCACGUGGUCAACCUACCCUGCGGACGGCUAUAACCCCGGGAAACUGGGGCUAAUAGCCGAUAGGAGAUGGGUGCUGGAAGGCCCUUUCUCCGAAAGGCCUAAUCAUCCAUGCUGUGAUUAGGUGCCGCAGGAUGGGACUGCGCCCUAUCAGGUAGACGGUGGGGUAAUGGCCCACCGUGCCUAUAACGGGUGCGGGCCCUGGGAGGGGGAGCCCGGAGAUGGGCACUGAGACAAGGGCCCAGGCCCUACGGGGCGCAGCAGGCGCGAAAACUCCGCUAUGCGCGAAAGCGCGACGGGGUCACUCCGAGUGCCGCCCGCUGAGGG